UCGUAGGCUGGUCAGGAACUCCUGGCCUCAAGUGAUCCACCCACUUCAGCCUCCCGAAGUGUUGGGACUACAGAUGUGAGCCACGGCGCCCGGCCGAACACAAUGGGUAUUUAUAAAGUCAAUUUUGUUAUGGGGUUGAGAAAGAUAACUUUUAAAAAUAAUGGGAAAAUAUUCUAUGUGUACACAGAGAUAAAGAGUAUGUAGGAUGAUUUUGAAAAUGACGUGCUUAUCAGCCUGGAAUAGUACGGAUUGAUCAGGUGACUAGGGAAAGCAUCCAAUCUCCAAAAAUGUUCUAGAGGAGAGAUAGGAAGAAAAGUUAAUUGACUAGUAAAUGUUCUGUAUUUCAAGUCUAUUACAUAAAAAUUAAGUCCUUAAAAAUUCAGUGAUGUUUCAAAUUAAAUUAGACUAAGUCCCAAUACAGAAACAUUUAAAAUAUAUACACAAGUCUUUGAGACUAUUUGGAUACACCUAGAUAUAUUUUCCUUGUGGCAGAAUGUGGGUCAUGAAAAAUAAUAAUCUUUCAUUUUCAAAGUAGAAAUACACUAAUGCAUAAAUGUAUUGCUUAUAAUGUAUCAGUCUGCAGGGUAUUAUUUUUCUCAUAAUAGGAAAUGGCAGACGUACGUAACUAUAUUCUUCUGGUGUAAAAUGGAACAGAACAAUCUUUUGCAAUUACAAUGCAUAGACUAUACUGGCCCUAGUGCAGGAAGCAUAACAAUUUGCAUAUUUUAAUUUGGAGGUUAGGGACCCCUGUCAAAGUAACAGCUUGGACCAGGUCAGCAAGGAGAAAUUGAGAAGAGAGAAAUAAUUGAAAAGGCAGUUCCCAACAAAAUGAAAUUUGUCUCGUUGUCACUUAAGGUUGUCUUCUUGUCUUUUUGAGAGAGCAAGGUCAGCUUAAGAAUGAAUGGAAAGUAGAGCAUGGUAGAUCACUAAGGACCAAAGGAUAAUUUUUUUAAUAACAGUGGCAAUUGCAAUAUAUAUUUAUGAAGGGAAGAGGAAAAGAAUGCACAUCGCUUUCCAGUUAAGAGUCAGCAGGUGUCCUUUGUGUCAAAAUAUUGCAGAUGUGUACAUGGCUGCUCUAAAGUUUGUCCUCAAAGACAAGCAGGUUACAAAGGAGAUGAAGUACUUAAUGAAAUAAUUUAGUGUGACAUAUUGAUAUUGAAGGCUGGAAGGCAGAAAAGGAUUUGCAACAAAAUUAAGACAACUUACUGUUGAAUUUAAAAAAUGCAUCAUUAGAGUCUCCACCUUUUAACUCAUAUGUUUAAUCAACUUUUAUAGUUAACAACGGUUAUAUCGAAAGGAACAAGAAGUCUUGGAAUGACUGAGCCACUGCCAGCCAGCAACAGAUCUUGCAAACCCAGCCUCUCCUCUCAUCUCUCAGGAACUCAGCUGAUUGAAGAAAGCCACCUGUUCCUAGGCUGCCCGACUUUCUCUGUAAUCAAGAAAUAAUGACCACAUUUGAGAGAAGAACCUCUUUGUUGGUUUUGAUAAGUGCCCUAGGAAUUUGUGGGGCAACCAAACUGAGCAAACUUCAGCUGAAAUGAAUGCCAAGGGCAAAACAGAGGCAUGCUAAUGGCCAGAUUUCAGUUUUCUGUUUUUAAUACCAUCUGCAUCUCUUUUGAUAUUUGAGUUACUACUUCAUGUUACAUAGCUAUAUUUUUUUAAAAGGAUUUUUUUCUUCCCCUUUGGAGUUUCAGCUUUUUGUUAAGAAAAUCUUUUAAGGGAGGAUGUUCCAGCAGUAUUAGGUUGGUGCAAAAGUCAUUGUGGUUUUUGCCUCUCCUUUCAAUGAAAAAAACCACAACGACUUUUGCACCAACUUUAAUAACAGUGACUUGUGGAAAGGGUUUGUGUGAGGAGUCAGCAGCAGACUGGACACUAGGACAUGACCUAGGUUUGGCCAAUUAGAUGUUUCAGCCUGGGAAUUUUUAUCUGGAGCCAGUGAUGCAGAGAGAGAGAGAGAGAGAGAGAGAGAGAGAGAGAGACAGAUUUAAAAUGUGUUUAUAGCUCUCAAGGUGUCCAGUGAGGGUGCAGCAUCCAGCAGCAUCAGUGUUCCAUGACUGCCGAAGUGACAGCUCAGCAGGGUAUCUCUGCUAAAAAGCAGUUGUUGUUCUCGCUUCUUUUGCUACCAAGUUCUCAUUCUUUCCAUCUAUUUCCUAAGUCUGAUUGUCCAGCCUGCCGUAGAUUCUGUGCGCCCCAUUAUCUUUCCAGUAAAUAUUUUUCUAUUUAAAUUAGCCGGAGUCACUUUCUGCUACCUGCGACCAAGGAUCCUGUCUGAUACAUAUGAGAUGAGAAGAGUAUGGUCAUUAGAAUAAGAAGUGAUCAUUUUAAUUCCAAGCUUGGGAAUAUUCCUUGGGAAAAUUUCUGCAGUUUUACAAUGUAUGUGGAAUUAUCAUCUGGAGGAUAAACAUGAGAUUGGAGAUAAAUAUUAGAAGACUCAACUGUAGGGUACUGUAAAAAGUUGAUGGGGCUUUUGAGUUGUAAGAGUAAAUAUACUUUUCUAGAGCUUCUUAAAAUUAAAUAAAUGCUUAUUUUUUUCUAAAGUAAGGUGGACGCAAUCCUCCUUUGAAGCCAAAGCUCCUGUUUGCAAUCUUUCAUACAUAACGUGUGUUAGAGGCUCUUAACAAUAACGCUUAAUAUGAGAAUUACUGCUCUUUUUUUUUGCCUUAUUAUUGGAUUGAAAGUCUUAUCUUCUUCUGAUUAUUUGAAUCUGGGUCAGGUAUUCUCCACUAUUGCAGGAUUGAGGGAAGCAAGUAAUAGCCACUCUAUCUUUGGAAUGUUCCGGCCCCUUUAUCAAUCACUUAGGCGACCUAGUUACAAAGGAUUCCUCUCUGGGACACCUAGACUUUGAGGAACCCCAAAGGAAAGAAAAUAAAAGCAUCUAAAGCGGGCUUUUUUUGUUGUGUGAGGGCUGUAGCAAGUGAAUGGGGGGAGUUUUAAGCAGUUGUCUGGUUAGACAGAGCUAGUUAAAUAAGAAGAGUUGGUGAAGCCCGUGGGAGUCAAACCCUUCUCUCUAUAGUUUUCCUUUGUAAAGGAUAAAGCUAGGGUUGAGUGAACCCAGAAGCUUUUUCCUGUCAGGAGGGAAUUAGAACAAAGAUUUUCUUUAAAGACAGUGUGCUUAGUACUGUCUAGUGACAGAUGAAUCUCAAAAGACUCAGUUGUGAUAAAGCCCCAAUGUGUAGAUUCUCAGUGGAAGCACAGAGUAACUUCCUAAACUUUUCUCUACUUGUCCUUUGUUCUGCUGACACCUAAUUUCCUGUUUCUGGCUCUGUUCCCUCAUUUUAAUCCCAUCUGGCCCUUUACCUGGAAGUAUUCUUAGGGGAAAAAAAACCAGGUUGUCCCCCUUCUGAAAAUAAAUAUAAGUACAAGUUGUCAAACAACCAUCAUUUCAAAAUAGAGUGGCACUGUGUUGAAAUGGUCAGAAGAUUUGGAGUUCUUAUUCAGCAAUAGACUUUCUGCUUGAUUGAAACUUUCUGAGUUCCUUUUUCUGAGAUACUAAUAUUUACUUACAUUACAGGAAUUCUGGGGCAAAUAAAUAAUAGGAGCUAGAAAAUCAUUUAAAAUAUCCAAUGCUCCAAGAAUGGUAAAUGUGAUGAAAACUUUUCUGUACACUUGCAAGGAACAACUCUUUUCACUUGUCUAUAGUCACUCCAUUGAUUCCAGCUUAUCCUCAGCACCAGACUACCAGGUUCCAUGCAUUUCUAUUGUUGCCACCUGUUUCCCUAUAGAUCCUGAGUUAUUUUGUUGACUUCUUAUUAUGACUUGUAUUUGACGUGAAAUUUUACUCAGUGCAAAUAAAUUUUUAUUACCUUAUUCUAAUAUACAA
This is a non-coding RNA of Chlorocebus sabaeus (green monkey), 3820 nucleotides long. The record is from RefSeq and is a predicted model, not a curated record. NCBI's taxonomy places the organism in Eukaryota, Metazoa, Chordata, Mammalia, Primates, Cercopithecidae.